AUUGAACGCUGGCGGCAUGCCUUACACAUGCAAGUCGAACGGCAGCACGGAGCUUGCUCUGGUGGCGAGUGGCGAACGGGUGAGUAAUAUAUCGGAACGUACCCUAGAGUGGGGGAUAACGUAGCGAAAGUUACGCUAAUACCGCAUACGAUCUAAGGAUGAAAGUGGGGGAUUCGCAAGAACCUCAUGCUCGUGGAGCGGCCGAUAUCUGAUUAGCUAGUUGGUAGGGUAAAAGCCUACCAAGGCAUCGAUCAGUAGCUGGUCUGAGAGGACGACCAGCCACACUGGAACUGAGACACGGUCCAGACUCCUACGGGAGGCAGCAGUGGGGAAUUUUGGACAAUGGGCGAAAGCCUGAUCCGGCAAUGCCGCGUGAGUGAAGAAGGCCUUCGGGUUGUAAAGCUCUUUUGUCAGGGAAGAAACGGUGAAAGCUAAUAUCUUUUGCUAAUGACGGUACCUGAAGAAUAAGCACCGGCUAACUACGUGCCAGCAGCCGCGGUAAUACGUAGGGUGCAAGCGUUAAUCGGAAUUACUGGGCGUAAAGCGUGCGCAGGCGGUUUUGUAAGUCUGAUGUGAAAUCCCCGGGCUCAACCUGGGAAUUGCAUUGGAGACUGCAAGGCUAGAAUCUGGCAGAGGGGGGUAGAAUUCCACGUGUAGCAGUGAAAUGCGUAGAUAUGUGGAGGAACACCGAUGGCGAAGGCAGCCCCCUGGGUCAAGAUUGACGCUCAUGCACGAAAGCGUGGGGAGCAAACAGGAUUAGAUACCCUGGUAGUCCACGCCCUAAACGAUGUCUACUAGUUGUCGGGUCUUAAUUGACUUGGUAACGCAGCUAACGCGUGAAGUAGACCGCCUGGGGAGUACGGUCGCAAGAUUAAAACUCAAAGGAAUUGACGGGGACCCGCACAAGCGGUGGAUGAUGUGGAUUAAUUCGAUGCAACGCGAAAAACCUUACCUACCCUUGACAUGGCUGGAAUCCUUGAGAGAUCAGGGAGUGCUCGAAAGAGAACCAGUACACAGGUGCUGCAUGGCUGUCGUCAGCUCGUGUCGUGAGAUGUUGGGUUAAGUCCCGCAACGAGCGCAACCCUUGUCAUUAGUUGCUACGAAAGGGCACUCUAAUGAGACUGCCGGUGACAAACCGGAGGAAGGUGGGGAUGACGUCAAGUCCUCAUGGCCCUUAUGGGUAGGGCUUCACACGUCAUACAAUGGUACAUACAGAGCGCCGCCAACCCGCGAGGGGGAGCUAAUCGCAGAAAGUGUAUCGUAGUCCGGAUUGUAGUCUGCAACUCGACUGCAUGAAGUUGGAAUCGCUAGUAAUCGCGGAUCAGCAUGUCGCGGUGAAUACGUUCCCGGGUCU
RNAcentral lists this ribosomal RNA (1354 nucleotides) under uncultured bacterium. RNAcentral describes it as "bacterial SSU rRNA". It matches the Rfam family "Bacterial small subunit ribosomal RNA", at positions 28 to 1381 of the family's 1533-position model. The record is from RNAcentral.